GUGAGGAAUAUUGGUCAAUGGGCGAGAGCCUGAACCAGCCAAGUCGCGUGAAGGAAGAAGGAUCUAUGGUUCGUAAACUUCUUUUGCAGGGGAAUAAAGUGCGGGACGUGUCCUGUUUUGUAUGUACCCUGAGAAUAAGGAUCGGCUAACUCCGUGCCAGCAGCCGCGGUAAUACGGAGGAUCCGAGCGUUAUCCGGAUUUAUUGGGUUUAAAGGGUGCGUAGGUGGUUUGAUAAGUCAGCGGUGAAAAUUUGCAGCUUAACUGUAAAAAUGCCGUUGAAACUGUCGGACUUGAGUGUAAAUGAGGUAGGCGGAAUGCGUGGUGUAGCGGUGAAAUGCAUAGAUAUCACGCAGAACUCCGAUUGCGAAGGCAGCUUACUAAGCUACAACUGACACUGAAGCACGAAAGCGUGGGGAUCAAACAGGAUUAGAAACCCUGGUAGUCC
This 445-nucleotide ribosomal RNA is filed under the name uncultured bacterium. RNAcentral describes it as "partial 16S ribosomal RNA". It matches the Rfam family "Bacterial small subunit ribosomal RNA", at positions 354 to 796 of the family's 1533-position model. The record is from RNAcentral.